AGAGCGAACGCUGGCGGCAGGCCUAAUACAUGCAAGUCGAACGGAUUCUUCGGGAUUAGUGGCGGACGGGUGAGUAACACGUGGGAACGUGCCCUUUGGUUCGGAACAACUCAGGGAAACUUGAGCUAAUACCGGAUGUGCCCUUCGGGGGAAAGAUUUAUCGCCAUUGGAGCGGCCCGCGUCUGAUUAGCUAGUUGGUGGGGUAAAGGCCUACCAAGGCUACGAUCAGUAGCUGGUCUGAGAGGAUGAUCAGCCACACUGGGACUGAGACACGGCCCAGACUCCUACGGGAGGCAGCAGUAGGGAAUCUUGCGCAAUGGGCGAAAGCCUGACGCAGCCAUGCCGCGUGAAUGAUGAAGGUCUUAGGAUUGUAAAAUUCUUUCAGUGGGGACGAUAAUGACGGUACCCACAGAAGAAGCCCGGCUAACUUCGCGCCAGCAGCCGC
This 445-nucleotide ribosomal RNA is filed under the name uncultured bacterium. RNAcentral describes it as "SSU rRNA". It matches the Rfam family "Bacterial small subunit ribosomal RNA", at positions 26 to 518 of the family's 1533-position model. The record is from RNAcentral.